CCUACGGGAGGCAGCAGUGAGGAAUAUUGGUCAAUGGCCGGAAGGCUGAACCAGCCAUGCCGCGUGAAGGUCAGUGCCCUAUGGGCGUUAAACUUCUUUUGUGCGGGAGCAAUAAUGGUCACGUGUGGCCAGACGAGAGUACCGUACGAAUAAGCAUCGGCUAACUCCGUGCCAGCAGCCGCGGUAAUACGGGGGAUGCAAGCGUUAUCCGGAUUUAUUGGGUGUAAAGGGUGCGUAGGCUGUGAGGUAAGUCAGCGGUGAAAUGCCCGCGCUCAACGGGGUGAAGUGCCAUUGAUACUGCCGGGCUGGAGUGCGGAAGCGGUGGGAGGAAUGUGUGGUGUAGCGGUGAAAUGCAUAGAUAUCACACAGAACACCGAUUGCGAAGGCAUCUCAC
RNAcentral lists this ribosomal RNA (394 nucleotides) under uncultured bacterium. Its description in RNAcentral is "partial 16S ribosomal RNA". It matches the Rfam family "Bacterial small subunit ribosomal RNA", at positions 338 to 729 of the family's 1533-position model. The record is from RNAcentral.